This 1215-nucleotide ribosomal RNA is filed under the name metagenome. Its description in RNAcentral is "bacterial SSU rRNA". It matches the Rfam family "Bacterial small subunit ribosomal RNA", at positions 289 to 1498 of the family's 1533-position model. The record is from RNAcentral.
AGCCUGAGAGGGUGUUCCCGAACACUGGGACUGAGACACUGCCCAGACUCCUACGGGAGGCUGCAGUCGAGAAUCAUUCGCAAUGGGCGUAAGCCUGACGAUGCGACGCCGCGUGUGGAUGGAGGCCUUCGGGUUGUAAACCACUGUCACAGGGGAAGAAACGCGCGGAUGCCAAUACCAUUCGUGUUUGACGUUACCCUGAGAGGAAGUCACGGCUAACUCCGUGCCAGCAGCCGCGGUAAUACGGAGGUGGCGAGCGUUGUUCGGAAUCACUGGGCGUAAAGGGUGCGCAGGCGGUCGAAUGUGUUCGGUGUGAAAUCCCCCGGCUCACCCGGGGAACUGCAUCGAAAACUGUUCGGCUUGAGUGCAGAAGGGGAAAGCGGAAUUUCCGGUGUAGCGGUGAAAUGCGUAGAUAUCGGAAGGAACGCCAAAGGCGAAGGCAGCUUUCUGGUCUGUAACUGACGCUGAGGCACGAAAGCCAGGGUAGCAAACGGGAUUAGAUACCCCGGUAGUCCUGGCUGUAAACGAUGGGUACUACGUAGUGGGGCCUCUGACGGUCGCACUGCCGGAGUUAACGUAUUAAGUACCCCGCCUGGGGACUACGGCCGCAAGGCUAAAACUCAAGGUAAUUGACGGGGGCUCACACAAGCGGUGGAGCAUGUUGCGUAAUCGAGACAACGCGAAGAACCUUACCUGGGCUUGACAUGUACGGAUUAGCCCGUCGAAAGGCGGAUGACACCCUUGCGGUGGAACGUACACAGGUGUUGCAUGGCUGUCGUCAGCUCGUGCCGUGAGGUGUCGGGUUAAGUCCCUCAACGAGCGAAACCCCUGUCCUUAGUUGCCAGCGAGUAAUGUUGGGGACUCUAGGGAGACUGCCAGUGUUAAACUGGAGGAAGGUGGGGAUGACGUCAAGUCAUCAUGGCCCUUAUGCCCAGGGCUGCAAACGUGCUACAAUGGCCGGUACAGAGGGAAGCGAGACCGUGAGGUGGAGCAAAUCUCAAAAAGCCGGCCCCAGUUCGGAUUGAAGGCUGCAACUCGCCUUCAUGAAGUUGGAAUCGCUAGUAAUCGCGGAUCAGCAACGCCGCGGUGAAGUGUUCCUGAGCCUUGUACACACCGCCCGUCAAGUCAUCCGAAUUGAUCGAACCCGAAGUCAUGAAGCCCUCGGGCCAGUGCCGAAGGUCCGGUUAGUGAGGAGGACUAAGUCGAAACAAGGUA